AUUUUUUACCCAAAAAUGAAAUGAUUGCAGAAAAAAUGGACAAACCUAAUUUUUUGAUAUUAUAAUGAUUUAUGAAACUAUAUAUGCUCAAAUUACACCACGAAGAAUAAUUUUUUUGUGAGACCUUCCUUCUUUGUAAAAUCUCUAUUUUAGUGCGAAUUAUGUAGGUCAGUCGAAAUUGGGACUGUCACGUAACGUUGCACUGAGCAAGUGACUCGAGAGCGUUUUUCUCGGUAAAUCUUGCAUUUCGGUUGAAAAUAUGGAAUGUUCAGCUUUUCAAGUGUAUAUUUAUAGUAUACAGUGUGUCACUGUCAUAGUGAGAGCUGUUAUGGAAAACAAUACAUGAAGAAACGACAUCGGUGCUGCAGAUAGACCAUAUCGCUGCUAUAACAUGGUUUCAGACUGGAAAAUUUUGCCGUUUGCCUUUCAAGUUACAUAGCUUUGGGUUUGCAGACUAAAAGUUUUAGUGAAAUGCUGACAGCAUACAGGUCUAUCCCUGCCUAAGCUUUAGCAUGAGAAUGGACUUGAUGGCAUGAAAUGAAAAGAUACCAGUUAGAAGAUUCCUGAAUUUCAUAUCAGCUGACAAUAAGGGAAGAGGUGUUCUAGUCAAGACCAGGGAAAAUUUAUUUCCACACAAUUUUGUGUGAUGGUGCUGUUGAUGCAGGUGUGACUGAACAAGAGAUGGUGUUUUGUAGAGUCUUGGAUAUUAUUUACCCUAGAAACCUUUCUCAUAGCAGACUAGUUCUGGAACAUUAUUUUCUUCCAGUAUUAAACAAGAUGGGCUUUGACCCAAAAGACUUCCAUUGAGAGUGGCCUGCCUUUAAAGAGUACAUAGGUGGCAGGUUUAUAGUGAAUUAAAAAAAAAAAAGACGUGUACCGAUUUGUUUCAAGGCUAGGAGACCAGACAAAGAUUAGAAUACAUACAAUAAUGCUAACUGAAAUUGCCUUGUUCAGCCUGUCCACUUCUCAGGUGGAGAGAGGAUACAGUGCUCUCAAAAGAAUCAAAUCUGACUGGAGGUCAAGUUUGGGGAAUAUUAUGCUUAAGUUAACAAAUUUUUGACGGCAGUUUUAAGGGGCCAAGUUUUGAUGAUCAUUUAGUCAAGGAAUCUAUCAACCACUGGGUGGCAGGGAAAACAGCACAAUUUUGAACUUGAAAAUUGGUUUAGUUUUCUGAUUGUCAUAUCCAGGUAAAUGACCUGACCAUUGAAGAUUCUAGGGAAAUAAAAAAUUGAAACAUACUCGUAUACAAUACUGAAGUUUUUUUUUUUUUUCAUUUUUAAUGCAUUUUACUUUGAUAUGUAGACUAUUUAAUUACAAAUUAUAUUUAAGAAUUUUCAGCUGGGGAGGAUCUUAUUUGUAUGUCAGUUUUGGCUAAAGUAAUAUUCAUGACUUGAUGGGGCAGGUGCUUCUCCUGCCCCCAGAAUAGACAGAUCAAGUUUGCCAAAUAGUUUAUUGCAGCCUUGUUAACUGCUUUGAUUUAAAAGGCAAACUUUGAAAAAGUUCAGUGCAUAUUCAUGAGGCUGAAUGAACAUUUCCCAGGAACAGUGUUUUAAGGACACAAGUUUACUUAGUUUUGUUUAUUACACAGAUUUUAAUAUUUUGCAUAAAUAGAUUAGGGAUUUUUUCAAAUCAUAAUUGGAAGGGUCUCAUUUUAAAUAGUUUAAUAUGUAAGAGACAAAAA
RNAcentral lists this long non-coding RNA (1681 nucleotides) under Lingula anatina. Its description in RNAcentral is "uncharacterized LOC106176795". The record is from RNAcentral. Lineage: Eukaryota; Metazoa; Brachiopoda; Lingulata; Lingulida; Lingulidae.